Molecule: long non-coding RNA, 390 nt
Organism: Trematomus bernacchii (emerald rockcod)
Lineage: Eukaryota; Metazoa; Chordata; Actinopteri; Perciformes; Nototheniidae
Exons: 3
Source: RefSeq, a predicted model, not a curated record
UUAUCCCUAAUUCCUCAAGAUGAACAUAUUUUCUUCCUUGCAGAUGUUCACCAACCAAAGUGUGUGUUUUUUUUAUAUGAAGAAAAACUCCCGGGCUUCCAAAUAUCACUGAUCCGAUCCCCGUGAUGUUCGGCAACCCUUGAUCCUGAACCUCCAAACUAAGCUCAAACAUGGCCGUGCUUCCUGCUCUCUGAUGCUCUUUUACGUCCAAUGGCUGCUGGAGUUUCCCGAGGAUUCUCCGCUCGUCUUACAGGAAACACGAGACAAAUUUGCCCACAGGAACAGUCUGACUGUGUUUCUCACACAUUCACACCGUCUCUCUCAGAGGAACACAGACAAAGUGCCUGUCAGUCUCAGAGCAGGGAGCGAUAAUUGAAGUGCCAAGAUGCA